Molecule: long non-coding RNA, 540 nt
Organism: Aphis gossypii (cotton aphid)
Lineage: Eukaryota; Metazoa; Arthropoda; Insecta; Hemiptera; Aphididae
Exons: 2
Source: RefSeq, a predicted model, not a curated record
AAACCCAAUGCACCUGCAUGGUGUUAUACUAUAUUAGAUUACAUUAUAUUUAAUUGGGAUAGUUUAUUAAUACACCUGCAUUAUAAGCGAUAGGCCAGAGAUCAGAAAAACAUAGUUUUUCUGUCGAUUAAGUAAUAAUUAUAUAAUUAUAGGAUAUUACUAUAAUUAUAUCAUUUAUAUAAUAGUUAUAUAAUUAUUUAUUGAUGAUUAUGUAAAUCAUCAUAUCACUCUAAAAUAGACUACUAGUCCCCUGCAUGUCAUUGAGAACUCAUAUAAAUACGAGUAGAGUAUUUAGAAGUAAUCAGAAAGGUAGUACUAUUCAAGAAGGUAGUACUAUUCAAGAAGGUAGUUCACUCCAAUGUAAGACUAUUGCUCGUCGUGGACUUUGUCACAGCCACAUCGCCGCGAGUUUACGGUCAUUCCCAGUACUUGUAACUUUUACAUAGCAGCAAGCUAUUUUACUUAUGUUUUAUAUUAUUGUUUAAUGUUUUAUAUUGUUUAACUUAAUAAACUUUUACUUUAUUUCAAUUAAAACAACAA